Hyposmocoma kahamanoa is the source of this 562-nucleotide long non-coding RNA. RefSeq lists it as uncharacterized. The transcript has 3 exons. The record is from RefSeq and is a predicted model, not a curated record. NCBI's taxonomy places the organism in Eukaryota, Metazoa, Arthropoda, Insecta, Lepidoptera, Cosmopterigidae.
CCCCUGGAUCAAUGUCCCCAAUUGCUUUCGAGGCCCCCUUCGCCCUAGGACUCUUCAGCGCCCACUGCGUGGCGGACUAUGGCCUAAACCGUCGCCUGAGAGGAGACCCGCGCCAGGCAGUGGGGCGUAUAAAUUGGUUGAUGGUGAUAUAGUUAAGAAACGUAGCCGUUAAUGCUCAGCUGCGGAGCCAGUCCUCUUGCUGGUGUGCUUAAGAUGGGAUAGGACAAGUGUGUCGGCAAACGUGGCGUCCCACACCAAUGCCCCGCCCAUACUCCAAGGGAUGAGAGUCAUUCCGUUCGGGCGUUUCAUCAGUACGCAACAAGCCGCUCAGCUCGAGUAUAGCGGGCACGUUAACCGUGGCUAACGCCCGGCUAAUUAAUUAUCCACUUCUAUUACUUUUUAGGAAAUUUAUCGUUUCCCCUUAACGAAUAAAGAAACGGCCUCGUGAACUUUAUAAAUUAUAAUGUUUCAUAAUUUCAUAAAACAAUUGAACAAUUUGAAAUCGCUGACAUGUGACAUUCCACAUAUCCAUAUCCUCCAUAUUUGCAUAACACAAAUUUGU